This 109-nucleotide non-coding RNA is filed under the name Marinobacter sp. LV10R510-11A. The record is from RNAcentral. Lineage: Bacteria; Pseudomonadati; Pseudomonadota; Gammaproteobacteria; Pseudomonadales; Marinobacteraceae.
UGAGGGCUGAGUGAUUGGCCCCGACCGCACAGGAGAAGUCAGCAGAGGGCAUAGUACCGGUGAUUACUCGACUGGUUUUUUUUCAGGAGUGAAUGUCUACGGGAAGGCC